UUGAACGCUGGCGGCAGGCCUAACACAUGCAAGUCGAGCGGUAACAGGACUAGCUUGCUAGUUGCUGACGAGCGGCGGACGGGUGCGUAACACGUAGGAAUCUGCCCGGUAGUGGGGGAUAGCCCGGAGAAAUCCGGAUUAAUACCGCAUACGCCCUAAGGGGGAAAGAUGGCCUCUUCUUGAAAGCUAUCACUAUCGGAUGAGCCUGCGUCGGAUUAGCUGGUUGGUAGGGUAAAGGCCUACCAAGGCGACGAUCCGUAGCUGGUCUGAGAGGAUGAUCAGCCACACUGGGACUGAGACACGGCCCAGACUCCUACGGGAGGCAGCAGUGGGGAAUAUUGCACAAUGGGCGCAAGCCUGAUGCAGCCAUGCCGCGUGUGUGAAGAAGGCCUUAGGGUUGUAAAGCACUUUCAGCGAGGAGGAAAGGGGUAAAGUUAAUACCUUUGCCCUGUGACGUUACUCGCAGAAGAAGCACCGGCUAACUCCGU
This 488-nucleotide ribosomal RNA is filed under the name uncultured Gammaproteobacteria bacterium. RNAcentral describes it as "bacterial SSU rRNA". It matches the Rfam family "Bacterial small subunit ribosomal RNA", at positions 30 to 506 of the family's 1533-position model. The record is from RNAcentral. Lineage: Bacteria; Pseudomonadati; Pseudomonadota; Gammaproteobacteria.